This 30-nucleotide non-coding RNA is filed under the name Rattus norvegicus (Norway rat). Lineage: Eukaryota; Metazoa; Chordata; Mammalia; Rodentia; Muridae. The record is from RNAcentral.
UCACUCAUCAAGUAUGGAUUGGGAAGGCCU